GACGAACGCUGGCGGCGUGCUUAACACAUGCAAGUCGAACGGAAAGGCCCUGCUUGCAGGGUGCUCGAGUGGCGAACGGGUGAGUAACACGUGGGUGAUCUGCCCCUUACUUUGGGAUAAGCCUGGGAAACUGGGUCUAAUACUGGAUAGGACCAUGCUGUAGGUGGUGUGGUGGAAAGAUUAGUUUCGGUAAGGGAUGAGCUCGCGGCCUAUCAGCUUGUUGGUGGGGUAAUGGCCUACCAAGGCGUCGACGGGUAGCCGGCCUGAGAGGGUGGACGGCCACAUUGGGACUGAGAUACGGCCCAGACUCCUACGGGAGGCAGCAGUGGGGAAUAUUGCACAAUGGGCGCAAGCCUGAUGCAGCGACGCCGCGUGGGGGAUGACGGCCUUCGGGUUGUAAACUCCUUUCAGCCACGACGAAGCCCUUGUGGUGACGGUAGUGGUAGAAGAAGCACCGGCUAACUACGUGCCAGCAGCCGCGGUAAUACGUAGGGUGCGAGCGUUGUCCGGAAUUACUGGGCGUAAAGAGCUCGUAGGUGGUCUGUCGCGUCAUUUGUGAAAGCCCGGGGCUUAACUCCGGGGUUGGCAGGUGAUACGGGCAUGACUGGAGUACUGUAGGGGAGACUGGAAUUCCUGGUGUAGCGGUGAAAUGCGCAGAUAUCAGGAGGAACACCGGUGGCGAAGGCGGGUCUCUGGGCAGUAACUGACGCUGAGGAGCGAAAGCAUGGGUAGCGAACAGGAUUAGAUACCCUGGUAGUCCAUGCCGUAAACGGUGGGCGCUAGGUGUGGGUUUCCUUCCACGGGAUCCGUGCCGUAGCUAACGCAUUAAGCGCCCCGCCUGGGGAGUACGGCCGCAAGGCUAAAACUCAAAGGAAUUGACGGGGGCCCGCACAAGCGGCGGAGCAUGUGGAUUAAUUCGAUGCAACGCGAAGAACCUUACCUGGGCUUGACAUGCACUGGAUGCGGCCAGAGAUGGUUGUUCCCUUUGUGGCUGGUGUGCAGGUGGUGCAUGGUUGUCGUCAGCUCGUGUCGUGAGAUGUUGGGUUAAGUCCCGCAACGAGCGCAACCCUUGUCUCGUGUUGCCAGCAUUUGGUUGGGGACUCGCGGGAGACUGCCGGGGUUAACUCGGAGGAAGGUGGGGAUGACGUCAAAUCAUCAUGCCCCUUAUGUCCGGGGCUUCACACAUGCUACAAUGGCUGGUACAGAGAGUUGCGAUACCGUGAGGUGGGGCUAAUCUCGUAAAGCCAGUCUCAGUUCGGAUUGGAGUCUGCAACUCGACUCCAUGAAGUCGGAGUCGCUAGUAAUCGCAGAUCAGCAAUGCUGCGGUGAAUACGUUCCCGGGCCU
RNAcentral lists this ribosomal RNA (1345 nucleotides) under uncultured bacterium. RNAcentral's name for it is "bacterial SSU rRNA". It matches the Rfam family "Bacterial small subunit ribosomal RNA", at positions 28 to 1381 of the family's 1533-position model. The record is from RNAcentral.